This is a long non-coding RNA of Triticum aestivum (bread wheat), 1054 nucleotides long. RefSeq lists it as uncharacterized. The transcript has 2 exons. NCBI's taxonomy places the organism in Eukaryota, Viridiplantae, Streptophyta, Magnoliopsida, Poales, Poaceae. The record is from RefSeq and is a predicted model, not a curated record.
CGCGGGGAUCAGAUUUAGCCGGCACGAGCGAUGCCUGAGACGUGGGAAUCCGUCGAUCGAGCCGACGCGAGUGAUUCGUCUGCGAGGGAGAAAAGAGGGGAUCCAGCCGACGCUGGCGAGCAGUCGAGCGGAAAGGGGAUGCAAAGCUGCCGAGCGGCCGUGCGCGUCUCCCCGGCUGAUGCGGAAACGGUAUGCGAAGCUGAUCCGUCGGCGGUUGAUGCGACCAGUAGAUCUUCCGUUUCUCAAAUCCAUUAAUGGUUUUGAAGGUGCACCAUUUAUCUCGCCGCAUGUCUACAUUUCUACAGGUGCUAUCAGAUACUAAUUGAUCGAAAUUUGUUCGGACAAUUGGGGAAAGGUUUUGGUUCUGGUAUACUGGUUUGCAAGUGAAGGUUUGAGAAUUGGAGAAUUGGGGAAGGUUUGUUCAAUGAAGGUUGGUCACCAAGCCAUCAAUUCUGCUUUGCAAGUACACCGGAUGGUUCAAAUGGGGGCGACAUGCUAUUGAUAUUCACGCCUGCUAUGUGCCCUUCCCCUCACCACCAGGCAAGAUUCAAAGGUAUUGAAUCUCGGCUCCUCCACUACUGCUCGUUGCCCUUUCGAGGCUCGAUUUUUUCCUUAAUCGUCUCUGUUUGUAUUUCCACCUUAAUUUGGCUAAGGAUUAACAGGAUCUUUCCACCUUAAUUUGGCUAAGGAUUAACAGGAUCCUUGUAUGUGUUGAUUGCCCGGGAUGUGGUGCUGCAAAAUAAAUGCCCAGUUCGUCCAAUGAGUAAGAUAGGUGCCCUCCGGAUCAUGUUUCUUUGUUGUGAUAAGACCUUAUACGCCAUGUAUUUAGAUUUCCUGAAACCCUGUGAUUAGGACGGUCUUGUCCUCGGCACACCGCUGUACCUGCACGCAUGCACACCCACAAAUUAGAUCCACACAUAAUGUGAGUUCGGUCGGAACAAACAUGCAUGAGCCGUGGACACAAGGCACUCACACCAUGUAUUACGCCAACGUCUCUGUGUGUGCAAUGCACAUUUACAUAUCUAGCUCAUCGCAUGCAUACGAUGUGAGAUCA